CAGCAGCCGCGGUAAUACGAAGGGUGCAAGCGUUACUCGGAAUUACUGGGCGUAAAGCGUGCGUAGGUGGUGGUUUAAGUCCGUUGUGAAAGCCCUGGGCUCAACCUGGGAAUUGCAGUGGAUACUGGGUCACUAGAGUGUGGUAGAGGAUAGUGGAACUUCCGGUGUAGCAGUGAAAUACGUAGAGAUCGGAAGGAACAUCUGUGGCGAAGGCGACUAUCUGGGCCAACACUGACACUGAGGCACAAAAGCGUGGGGAGCAAACAGGAUUAGAUACCCCAGUAGUCCCUGUCUCUUAUAC
RNAcentral lists this ribosomal RNA (301 nucleotides) under uncultured bacterium. RNAcentral describes it as "partial 16S ribosomal RNA". It matches the Rfam family "Bacterial small subunit ribosomal RNA", at positions 509 to 807 of the family's 1533-position model. The record is from RNAcentral.